UCGAGAAUCUUCGGCAAUGGGCGCAAGCCUGACCGAGCGACGCCGCGUGGAGGACGAAGGCCUUCGGGUUGUAAACUCCUGUCGAGGGGAAGGAAGGGGCCGCGAGGCCCUUGACCGCUCCCUGGAGGAAGCACGGGCUAAGUUCGUGCCAGCAGCCGCGGUAAGACGAACCGUGCGAACGUUAUUCGGAAUCACUGGGCUUAAAGCGCGUGUAGGCGGGGCGGUGCGUCGGUCGUUGAAAUCCCCCGGCUCAACCGGGGAAGUGGCGCCGAUACGACCGCCCUGGAGCGACGUAGGGGGAACUGGAACUUCCGGUGGAGCGGUGAAAUGCGUUGAGAUCGGAAGGAACGCCCGUGGCGAAAGCGAGUUCCUGGACGUCGGCUGACGCUGAGACGCGAAAGCCAGGGGAGCGAACG
This 416-nucleotide ribosomal RNA is filed under the name uncultured bacterium. RNAcentral describes it as "bacterial SSU rRNA". It matches the Rfam family "Bacterial small subunit ribosomal RNA", at positions 355 to 774 of the family's 1533-position model. The record is from RNAcentral.